Molecule: long non-coding RNA, 2638 nt
Organism: Ictalurus punctatus (channel catfish)
Lineage: Eukaryota; Metazoa; Chordata; Actinopteri; Siluriformes; Ictaluridae
Source: Ensembl
CCAGCAAGCGACAGAAAGAAGCACAGAUCGAGAAAUAAUGGCAGAUCAAGUAUAACUCGCACUAAUUUCAAGUGGGGUUUUCACAUUAGGGAUUCAGUGGCUUUGUUUAUUGACUUUGACUCUGUGUGCUCUGCCCAGGCAAUCUCAGAACACACAAUUACUUCCUCAUGUGUCCUUUUUUACACAUCCAAAAAAAAAAGAGAAAAGAAGCAUGAAAAAGACAAACCAUGAAACAAGGACGCAUGUCAAAACAGAGAAUGUCCUUGAAAACCUCACCCAAAAUAAAACUUCUUCUUUCGAGCCUUCAAAACAUUCUGUGCCACUUUUGGGUUAAUCAACAGUGACACAACACUUUUCGGAGCUGGUGAAAUCUCCAUUGCGAGAAAGCCGAGAUAGAAGAAUAACAAACGUGGAAAAGUGACUACACAGGCGGCAAGGGUGACGAGGCACUGAAAAUGGCAGCUGUCAAGUGAGCUGACGAGGAAAUGAGCGAGCGAAGGCCCUCGCUCUCUGAGCACUUUGUCACAUGCUGUAGAUACUUCAAGGGCCAAAGAGGAGAUCUGGGACGGCAUUCUUAUCACAGUGACUGAAGAGCAUUUUCAUCCCUCUGAAUGGGAAGGCAUGCGUGAACACCUAGGUUGGUGUGGAAGAACACAAGUGACAUGACGACUGCAGUCCAGACCUCCACAGCAGACAUCAGUGCCUGAUCUCACUAAUGUUCAUGGGGCUGAAAGAGCACAUAUCCCCACAGCCACACUCCAAAAUCUUGUGCAAAGCCUUCCCAGAGGAGUGGUGGUUAUUACAACCGCAAAGGACGACUAAACCUUGAAUGGGACGUUCAAAAUGCACAUGAGUGUCAUGGUUAGGCCUUUUGUCCAUAUAGUGUAACUAGUUGGGUCAUGCUAACAUCAGCUUUUAGGACUUUAGCGUCUUCAGUACUCCACUUAACUCUACUCUGGAUGCUUCACCUUUGUCAGGGAUUUGGUUGAGGCAGCAGAUGCAAGUGCAGAUUUUAUUGAAAACGUGUAACACAAACAACCAAAACCGUGAAACAAGAACCAUAAACAUAAACACUAGAUAUAAAGCAACAAGCAGACUACAAUCCAGGCUGCAGCGCACAUGACAACACACACAAUACAACAACAAAAGCUUGAUAAUGAAGCAUACAGAAACCAGGAAUUACGUGGGGGUGUUGAGUGCUCAGUGAGAUGUUUGACAAGGUCAAUCUUCACUUCAGCAGCCCUGUCUCCUUUGAUUUCCCCUCAUUCCUGGUGCAGGAGUGAUCAGGAAUGUGCAGGCACUCUGCAGAAUCCCCUCAUUAGGCUGACGGGCCCAGUCGCAGCAACCAUUAACUCCAUUCCGGCAAAAUUCAUCGCACUGCCAGAUAAGACAGAUGAGAGGAGACACAAGGAGGGUGGGGGCCUGAUUUGGACUGGAACUGUGUCAAUGCACAUCCAGCCGUAUUCAGCACAUCAGUGAUGGACGUCUGUCUGUGAACUGUCCAGCAGCAGAGAUUUUCGCUGCAUCAGCAUGGUUUAGCAGAAUGAAAUUUGCGCUCCAUUGCCACUAAUUUUGCCACUAAUCCUUAUUUCACUGUUUGUAGAUCACCAUUCAUCACUCAUCUACUUUGACCGUCUGCUGCUCUGGAUGAUCUCAAAUGGAUGCAGUAAAGAUUUGCACAUAAACAGUUUAUACCUGUCACACCCUUUUUUCCAUGGAUAAUCUCACCUGGAUACUGUAGAUUUGUAACUGAAAACUGGUGCUGCAAUCAUAAUAGCUGUCUUGUGUUCAUCCCAGCACUGUUAUUCACAAUAUACACACUGAGUACUGAAGAUGAUGGGUUCCCUUUUGAGUCUGCUUCCUCUCAACAUUUCUUCCAAAUUGUUUCAUUGAGAUUUUUCUUCCCAUUAUCACAUUUGACUUGCUAAUUACAUUCAUCCAUCCAUCCAAUAUUCCAUACUGCUAUUUUCCAUACCACUUAUCAUGCAGGAGCCUGCAGCCUAUCCCAGAAAACUCAGGGUGCAAGCUGGGGGACACCCUGGACAGGGUGCCAACCCAAUGCAGGGCACCAUAGCACACACAUUCAGACACAACAGACAAUUUGGGGAGUGGAGGAGUACCCGGACUAAACACCCAAAACACCCAAUGUAACUCUGUGGUUCCACAUGGAUACCCUAAACUGAUAUAAAAAGAAAGGUCUUGGUUAAGGACUUCAGUAAACUUACUGUUUGCUGUCUUCAAGGCAUGGCACUUUCUGCAUGAAAUUAAUCCUACACCUUCAUCUUUUGUCAUGGAACUUUACUCUUAAUGAGUUUCAACACCUCAAUGAAUCUUGCAAUUAGUUCAAUUGUUUUCCCUGUCACUUCUGAUUAUUCAUAUCACUGUAAUGUCCAUGACAAAAGAACUAGAUUAGAACUUAGAAACUAUGAUACAUUUUCAAACACAUCACCAUAAUCAAGUGUGGAACUCACAUACACUGUUAACAAUACCCAUACUCCUUAAGAGGCAUCAAGUGAAUAUACUGAAUAUGAUUAUUAUGCAUGUAACAGUGUAUCGUGAUUAAAAAUAUUUGAUUGUGUUUCAUUAUCACUCUUAUUAAAAUGCAUUGUGCUUUCCAUGGCUUAAAGCAUGACAUUUU